GUGUCCCACCCGAUCCCAUUCCGAACUCGGCCGUGAAACCCGACUGCGCCAAUGGUACUAUCGCUCAAGCGAUGGAAGAGUAGGUCGUCGCCAGGC
RNAcentral lists this ribosomal RNA (96 nucleotides) under Sphingomonas sp. RNAcentral also lists the same sequence under 1 other name. Lineage: Bacteria; Pseudomonadati; Pseudomonadota; Alphaproteobacteria; Sphingomonadales; Sphingomonadaceae. The record is from RNAcentral.